RNAcentral lists this ribosomal RNA (497 nucleotides) under uncultured bacterium. RNAcentral's name for it is "partial 16S ribosomal RNA". It matches the Rfam family "Bacterial small subunit ribosomal RNA", at positions 28 to 507 of the family's 1533-position model. The record is from RNAcentral.
GAUGAACGCUGGCGGCGUGCCUAAUACAUGCAAGUCGAGCGAACGGACGAGAAGCUUGCUUUUCUGAUGUUAGCGGCGGACGGGUGAGUAACACGUGGAUAACCUACCUAUAAGACUGGGAUAACUUCGGGAAACCGGAGCUAAUACCGGAUAAUAUUUUGAACCGCAUGGUUCAAAAGUGAAAGACGGUCUUGCUGUCACUUAUAGAUGGAUCCGCGCUGCAUUAGCUAGUUGGUAAGGUAACGGCUUACCAAGGCAACGAUGCAUAGCCGACCUGAGAGGGUGAUCGGCCACACUGGAACUGAGACACGGUCCAGACUCCUACGGGAGGCAGCCGUAGGGAAUCUUCCGCAAUGGGCGAAAGCCUGACGGAGCAACGCCGCGUGAGUGAUGAAGGUCUUCGGAUCGUAAAACUCUGUUAUUAGGGAAGAACAUAUGUGUAAGUAACUGUGCACAUCUUGACGGUACCUAAUCAGAAAGCCACGGCUAACUACGUG